This 468-nucleotide ribosomal RNA is filed under the name uncultured bacterium. Its description in RNAcentral is "partial 16S ribosomal RNA". It matches the Rfam family "Bacterial small subunit ribosomal RNA", at positions 28 to 507 of the family's 1533-position model. The record is from RNAcentral.
GACGAACGCUGGCGGCGUGCUUAACACAUGCAAGUCGAACGGAAAGGCCCUGCUUUUGUGGGGUGCUCGAGUGGCGAACGGGUGAGUAACACGUGAGUAACCUGCCCUUGACUUUGGGAUAACUUCAGGAAACUGGGGCUAAUACCGGAUAGGAGCUCCUGCUGCAUGGUGGGGGUUGGAAAGUUUCGGCGGUUGGGGAUGGACUCGCGGCUUAUCAGCUUGUUGGUGGGGUAGUGGCUUACCAAGGCUUUGACGGGUAGCCGGCCUGAGUGGGUGACCGGCCACAUUGGGACUGGGAUACGGCCCAGACUCCUACGGGAGGCAGAAGUGGGGAAUAUUGCACAAUGGGCGGAAGCCGGAUGCAGCAACGCCGCGUGCGGGAUGACGGCCUUCGGGUUGUAAACCGCUUUCGCCUGUGACGAAGCGUGAGUGACGGUAAUGGGUAAAGAAGCACCGGCUAACUACGUG